This 506-nucleotide ribosomal RNA is filed under the name uncultured bacterium. RNAcentral describes it as "bacterial SSU rRNA". It matches the Rfam family "Bacterial small subunit ribosomal RNA", at positions 36 to 518 of the family's 1533-position model. The record is from RNAcentral.
CUGGUAGCGUGGAUUAGGCAUGCAAGUCAACGGGAUCCAUGAAGUAGCAAUACUUUAUGGUGAGAGUGGCGGAUGGGGAAGAACACGUGAGCAACCUGCCUUGAGUUGGGGAAACCAUUGGAAACGAUGGCUAAUACCGGAUGUGGCGCCUGGGGACAUCCCCGGAGCGCUAAAGGGGGCGACCCGCAAGGGGCUCCCGCUCAUUGAAGGGCUCGCGCACCAUCAGCUUGUUGGCGGGGUAACGGCCCACCAAGGCUUACGGUUAGCUGGUCUGAGAGGAUGACCAGCCCCACUGGGACUGAGAUACUGCCCAGACUCCUACGGGAGGCUGCAGUCGAGGAUCAUUUGCAAUGGGCGAAAGCCUGACAAUGCGACGCUGCGUGGAGGAAUGAAGGCCUUCGGGUUGUAAACUCCUGUCAUAAGGGAACAGGCGAUCCUACCUAAUACGUAGGAAAGUUGAGUGUACUUUAAGAGGAAGGGACGGCUAACUCUGUGCCAGCAGCAGC